GAGGGUAGAGCUCAGUGGUAGAGCACAUGCUUAGCAUGCAGGUGGUCCUGGGUUCAAUCCUUGGUAUCUCCA
This 72-nucleotide transfer RNA is filed under the name Camelus bactrianus (Bactrian camel). It matches the Rfam family "tRNA". Rfam says of the family: Transfer RNA (tRNA) molecules are approximately 80 nucleotides in length. Their secondary structure includes four short double-helical elements and three loops (D, anti-codon, and T loops). RNAcentral also lists the same sequence under 2 other names. The record is from Rfam by way of RNAcentral. Lineage: Eukaryota; Metazoa; Chordata; Mammalia; Artiodactyla; Camelidae.